Molecule: transfer RNA, 73 nt
Filed under: bacterium
Lineage: Bacteria
Description: tRNA-Pro
Rfam family: tRNA
About the family: Transfer RNA (tRNA) molecules are approximately 80 nucleotides in length.
Source: RNAcentral
CGGGAACUAGCUCAGAUGGUAGAGCGCUACGUUCGGGACGUAGAGGUCGUGAGUUCAAGUCUCGCGUUCCCGA